UUGUGUACAGUGUUGUGUGACUGGUUCUCUGUUUGUGUACAGUGGUGUGUGAUUGGUUCUCUGUUUGUGUACAGUGGUGUGGGACUGGUUCUCUGUGUGUGUACAGUGUUGUGUGACUGGGUUCUCUGUUUGUGUACAGUGGUGUGAGACUGGUUCUCUUUGUGUGUACAGUGGUGUGUGACUGGUUCUCUGUUUGUGUACAGUGGUGUGUGACUGGUUCUCUGUUUGUGUACAGUGGUGUGUGACCGGUUCUCUGUUUGUGUACAGUGUGGUGUGUGACUGGUUCUCUGUUUGUGUACAGUGUGGUGUGUGACUGGUUCUCUGUUUGUGUACAGUGGUGUGUGACGGGUUCUCUGUUUGUGUACAGUGGUGUGUGACCGGGUUCUCUGUUUGUGUACAGUGGUGUGUGACGGGUUCUCUGUUUGUGUACAGUGGUGUGUGACGGGUUCUCUGUUUGUGUACAGUGGUGUGUGACUGG
This is a long non-coding RNA of Ictalurus punctatus (channel catfish), 478 nucleotides long. The record is from Ensembl. NCBI's taxonomy places the organism in Eukaryota, Metazoa, Chordata, Actinopteri, Siluriformes, Ictaluridae.